UGAAAAUUAGUAGUAUAUGGCCAGCUAGCGUGGAGAUCGAAAUUACGAAUUUAUUGUAAAGGCUGUAAAACGUUUAAAUAACGGAUUAAAACUCCUCUCCUAGCGACGAAGACGACGCCUGUGGUUAAGAAAUUUUGGUUGUUGGUGCCGUCUGUUUCUGUAUUUUAUUUGGGUCAUUUUAUCACGUCUCCAAGUGUUAGGGAUUUCGGCAUUGGAGGCGUUUUGUCCGGAGGUAGCAAAGGUUGUCCACGCCCGAGGUGUUUUUGCUGUUGGGUUAUUUUUUUUUAUUGUAAGAAGAGUUUGCCUACUGUUUGACGCGAGUCGUCCCAUGAUUAUGUAGAUAUCCAGUGGAAAGCAGAUUUGGCUCGUUCGAAUGAUUACUCCUGCUGCAGUUACUACACAGCUAAGUACCACAACACCCUUUUUUUUUGUUUGAGGCAACUUAUGCCACACUUCAUCGUUUCUUCGAUCAAUAUUACCCACACGUUAUUACAUUUGCUAAGAAGAGUGUAAAUAGUUUUAAAUUUUAGUAUAAGGUUAGUGUCAUAAAAAUAUCAGUAGUAUCUAAUAAUAAAGGGGUAUCUAUUUAUGCUUAAGUAAACUUCUGUAUCGUCUCGGUCGAAUAAGGCCAUAAUGUUGUCAUUGUUGUUAGUUUUAAGAUAACUGGUAUAACUAUUCAUUGUUUUUUUUUAUUGCCGCCAAUAAAGCUAUGAUGACUAUUUAGUGGUUUCAUCAUUGUGGUUAUUUCACGAA
Molecule: long non-coding RNA, 753 nt
Organism: Anoplophora glabripennis (Asian longhorned beetle)
Lineage: Eukaryota; Metazoa; Arthropoda; Insecta; Coleoptera; Cerambycidae
Exons: 2
Source: RefSeq, a predicted model, not a curated record